UUCGACAAUGUGGAAAUUAUAAUGGUCUAAUCUCGUGGUUUAUGUUCUAAAAACUGUAAAUACUGUGAUGGAAUAUUUAAAGAACUUGGUGAGAAAAGAAAAUUGUUCAAUUGCCAUUAAUAAAUUUUUAAUAAUUUGUAAUGAAAUGACAACACUCGUUUCAUUAGAAUCCAUUGUGCAUUGUGUUUUCAUGUGAAAAUGGUAAAGGAAGUUUUGACUCUAGUCUUCUUAAAUAUGAAAAAAUUCAUCCAAUAUACCUGUCAUUGCCAACGUACACAGGCAGCCAUAAGAUGUUAUGCAGAUGCACGACCAUUAACUUUAAAGCUAUUCUAUUUUAUCAUCUUUAAACGUAUGAAACGAAGCAGAAAAUUUGGUUACCAGAUAUAGGAACUUUUGAUCCUUCGAAGAAUUUAAAGUUGUGAAUAUUAAUUUAGAUAAAAAUGAUUUGAGCAUAUCAAAAGAACAUUAACAUUAACGUAUUACGUAACAGGAUGAACAAGAUAAAAUAGUAAGCAUUGAUUUCGAUAAUCUAAUUACGGAUGAUGGAGAUACACAUUUCGAGAUGGUACUUUAACAAUUGAAAGUUUAGAUGGAAAUAAAUUAUAUUUAGAUUCAACGACUCAAUUUAGAAUGUGCAAUGAUAGAGAUUGGCAUGGUGAAAUUAGAUAGAAGUUUGAAAAUGAUAAGCGAUAUGUAAUUGAACAAACGAGUCAUAGAAAAAAAUUGAAGAUAAAUUUAUGAGCGAAAAUAAAUAUAAAUCUGAUGAUAUCUUCGUUAAUAGUAUUCCUAUGUAUUUAGAAGCUGUGUAUUGAAAAAAAAAAAAAAUAAAAAGAAGAAAAGAAAAAGGAAAUGCUAUGUAGUACUAGCAAUUUGAAAAAUGAUUUGAUAGGCACGAGGUAAAAGAGAUCAAAAAACUGAAAGAACUGAUUGAAACGAAUGUAUAUGUACAUAUAAACAUAAAUAUGCAUAAACGGGUAAUAUACAGUAAAACUAUCAUGUUUCACUUUACAAACAAAAUAAUAUAAAUUAUUGGAUUAUCUAUAAAAAUUAUA
RNAcentral lists this long non-coding RNA (1052 nucleotides) under Varroa destructor (honeybee mite). RNAcentral describes it as "uncharacterized LOC111255068, transcript variant X3". Lineage: Eukaryota; Metazoa; Arthropoda; Arachnida; Mesostigmata; Varroidae. The record is from RNAcentral.